UAGAGAUUCACCACUUCACAGAUAU
This 25-nucleotide unclassified non-coding RNA is filed under the name Mus musculus (house mouse). Its description in RNAcentral is "oocyte_clustered_small_RNA655". Lineage: Eukaryota; Metazoa; Chordata; Mammalia; Rodentia; Muridae. The record is from RNAcentral.